This 433-nucleotide ribosomal RNA is filed under the name uncultured bacterium. Its description in RNAcentral is "partial 16S ribosomal RNA". It matches the Rfam family "Bacterial small subunit ribosomal RNA", at positions 29 to 507 of the family's 1533-position model. The record is from RNAcentral.
AACGAACGCUGGCGGCAUGCCUAACACAUGCAAGUCGAACGAGACCUUCGGGUCUGGUGGCGCACGGGUGCGUAACGCGUGGGAACCUGCCCUUAGGUUCGGAAUAACUCCCCGAAAGGGGUGCUAAUACCGGAUAAUGUCUUCGGACCAAAGAUUUAUCGCCUUUGGAUGGGCCCGCGUUUGAUUAGCUAGUUGGUAGGGUAAAAGCCUACCAAGGCGACGGUCCAUAGCUGGUCUGAGAGGAUGAUCAGCCACACUGGGACUGAGACACGGCCCAGACUCCGACGGGAGGCAGCAGUGGGGAAUAUUGGACAAUGGGCGAAAGCCUGAUGCAGCAAUGCCGCGUGAGUGAUGAAGGCCGUAGGGUUGUAAAGCUCUUUUACCCGGGAUGAUAAUGACAGUACCGGGAGAAUAAGCGCCGGCUAACUCCGUG